RNAcentral lists this ribosomal RNA (466 nucleotides) under uncultured bacterium. RNAcentral describes it as "partial 16S ribosomal RNA". It matches the Rfam family "Bacterial small subunit ribosomal RNA", at positions 339 to 795 of the family's 1533-position model. The record is from RNAcentral.
CUACGGGACGCAGCAGUGGGGAAUAUUGGACAAUGGGGGAAACCCUGAUCCAGCAAUGCCGCGUGUGUGAAGAAGGCCUGCGGGUUGUAAAGCACUUUCGGUUGGGAGGACUGCUUCUAGCACUAAUAUUGUUGGAAGUUGGCGUUACCUUCAGAAGAAGCACCGGCUAACUCCGUGCCAGCAGCCGCGGUAAUACGGGAGGGUGCAAGCGUUAAUCGGAAUUACUGGGCGUAAAGCGCGCGUAGGCGGCUAGAUCAGUCGGGUGUGAAAGCCCCGGGCUUAACCUGGGAACUGCAUCCGAUACUGUCUAGCUUGAGUACAGGAGAGGAGAGUGGAAUUCCACAUGUAGCGGUGAAAUGCGUAGAUAUGUGGAGGAACACCAAUGGCGAAGGCAGCUCUCUGGCCUGAUACUGACGCUGAGGUGCGAAAGCGUGGGGAGCAAACAGGAUUAGAUACCCGAGUAGUC